ACUCAAAUGAAUUGACGGGGACCCGCACAAGCAGAGGAGCAUGUGGUUUAAUUCGACGGUAAGCGAAAAACCUUACCAAGGUUUGACAUGUAGCUGCAAGCCGCUAGAAACAGUGGCCGCCUUCGAGGGUGCUACACAGGUGCUGCAUGGUUGCCGUCAGCUCGUGUCGUGAGAUGUACCGUUAAGUCGGGUAACGAGCGCAACCCCUAUUCCGUGUUGAUAUUUCACGGGAGACCGCCUCGGAUAACGGGGAGGAAGGUGGGGAUGACGUCAAAUCAGCAUGGCUCUUACACCUUGGGCUACACACGUGCUACAAUGGUUGGGACAAUGGGUUGCCAAGCCGUAAGGCGGAGCUAAUCCCACCAAACCCAACCUCAGUUCGGAUUGAGGGCUGCAAUUCGCCCUCAUGAAGCUGGAUUUGCUAGUAACGGCCGAUCAGCAACGCGGCCGUGAAUACGUUCUCGGGUCUUGUACACACCGCCCGU
Molecule: ribosomal RNA, 485 nt
Filed under: uncultured bacterium
Lineage: Bacteria
Description: partial 16S ribosomal RNA
Rfam family: Bacterial small subunit ribosomal RNA
Source: RNAcentral